UACGUAGGGGGCUAGCGUUGUCCGGAAUCAUUGGGCGUAAAGCGCGUGUAGGCGGUCCGGUAAGUUCGCUGUGAAAGUCGGGGGCUCAACCCUCGGAUGCCGGUGGAUACUGUCGGGCUUGAGUACGGAAGAGGCGAGUGGAAUUCCUGGUGUAGCGGUGAAAUGCGCAGAUAUCAGGAGGAACACCAAUUGCGAAGGCAGCUCGCUGGGACGUUACUGACGCUGAGACGCGAAAGCGUGGGGAGCAAACAGG
RNAcentral lists this ribosomal RNA (253 nucleotides) under uncultured bacterium. RNAcentral describes it as "partial 16S ribosomal RNA". It matches the Rfam family "Bacterial small subunit ribosomal RNA", at positions 524 to 776 of the family's 1533-position model. The record is from RNAcentral.